CUCGGGGAGAGGCCCCGGGAAGCGCCGCUGCCGCGCUGGCUCCGCUCCCCGCGGGUUAUUUUUGAGUAGGAUGGAGCUUGCCAUGGCAUAGCUGAUGGCAGCGGUAAUAGGGCAAAGCUGGGCGGCACGUUUGGCCGAGGAACGUCGGGAGGUGACCAAAGCAGCCCCUGCGCUGUGCGCUCUGUCCCAGCCUCGGGGUUCAGAGGUUGUUCCCUUUGUUUUGGGGGACGCGCUCGGUUUUGUCACUGCCGUGUUUGUCCUGGCGCUUCCCUGAACGCCCACCCCAAACAUCGCCGCCGAUUCCCGUGCCGGAAUCAUUUCGGCUGGAAAAGACUUUUAAGGUCAAGCCCGACCAUAAGGUCACAGUGGAAGUCCACAACAUGACGAGGGAUUCUGCUGGGCUGGACCUAACCACAUGCGAAGACCGUGCAUCUUUUAUAUGCGUUUGUUUUUACAAACACAGAAGUAUCCCAGGAUAGAACUAUCAUUAGUUUGGGAUACGCGAUUUUUUUUGUUGUUGUCAUUGAUGAAAGUUUGCCUGCCAAGAUUUUCAUGUCCCCUCUGGUUUUGGGGAAGGUGUGUUGUUUACAGCUCCCUCUUUUCAUUAUCUUUUGUAUUUUCCUGAUAGAAUUUUUAAUAUAGCGGUCGUUGAAAGUAGUUGGCAAACGUACACGUGGUGAAGUUCUUGCGUUCCAUCUCCUUUAUGCUUAGCUUUACAUACUUUGGUUUUAUUUUUACUUACAGAAUCCAAACCUUGUGUAGGAAACCUUUGAAUGUUUUAUUUUGAGGGAAAUUUUUCUCAAGAAAAAUGCAAAUUCACCUGAAAUGUACCAGUCUGCCCAAAAAACCUAAAUAGUGUUACGUGUGAAAAUUGACAUAUCUUGUUAGGCCAGUUUGAGAUUGUGUAUGCACUCUUGAGGGGAAAAAAGUGUGUGUUAAAGAGGUAAUUCCUUGCCUUCAGUUAGGUUUUUGGUGUCAUGGGAAUGUUGUUGGCUAGGUUUAGGAAGAAAUAAAAUAUUCCUGUAAAAUAUGAGCUUAUGCUGACAUGAUUAUAAGUGUUUGUGUGAAAGUGGGAAAUUAAAUUAGCUGAGACAAAAAUUGAAAUUAAUCAAUACUCUUUUUGUUCACGUUCUGAUUAUUCCUGGCUGGCGUGGUGCUCCCUGUCCUGCUGCAUCUUUCUGCAAAUCCUGUACUUUUGGUAAAGGCAUUAUGACAUGGUUCAUAAAUGCUUUUGAAGCUAGGGUUUUGUAAAAAAAUGCUAUUUUCUAACCUGCACAACAUAGGUGUAGACUGGUGGUUUGUAGUUGCAUCCAUUUUGGGAAGAAAAUGGUUUUAUUUUCUAAGUUUUCCUAUUUACAAAAUACAGAUUACAACUAGCCUAGCAAAUACAGAAAUGAGACAAUUAAACUAUUUUCUAUUUUUUCCUUCAGAGUGCUUGGUCCUGUCUUCCUUUUCACUUGUGUGCUUUCCAGUUGGAUUAAUGUGCCUCAUGUAAACCAGAUAAAAGAGCAUAUGUCAGACCAUUUUCUGUACUGUAAUCACAUGUCUAAAUCACUAUUAGCCAGUCAAAUUGUUCAACUGCUUUAUCCCAUUAUAGGAAAUGUUCCACUGAAUGUUCAGUCUAAGUGCAGUCUAAGUAAUGAUAAAAUGAAGAGCCCUGCAUUAAACUGGCAAAGCCAGAAUGGAAUAAUUCCUCAGCUAUGGAUGCCUCCAUUAAACAGCAGUGCCAUAUUGGAGAGUGCUUUAGCACUUGUCAUGAGAGGACUUCCAAGAGCUGUCAGACAGAUCCAGUGUGCUGGCUGGCUGAAAUCUCAGCAUAUUGGUCACCAGGAAUGUCUUGCCCAGUCCCUUGGUUGCUGCUCUGAGCCAUCUACACACCAGACAUCUCUUCAUCCUGUGUGCAGUGACACUGGAGACUUUUCCCAGCUUAAAACAAUAAAAACAGUUCCAUUUUC
Long non-coding RNA from Melospiza melodia melodia, 1955 nucleotides. RefSeq lists it as uncharacterized. The record is from RefSeq and is a predicted model, not a curated record. The transcript is spliced from 2 exons. NCBI's taxonomy places the organism in Eukaryota, Metazoa, Chordata, Aves, Passeriformes, Passerellidae.